GAUGAACGCUGGCGGCGUGCUUAACACAUGCAAGUCGAACGAUGACGACCGAGCUUGCUCGGUCUGAUUAGUGGCGAACGGGUGAGUAACACGUGAGCAACCUGCCCUUCACUCUGGGAUAACCUCGGGAAAUCGGGGCUAAUACCGGAUAUGAGCUCCUGUCGCAUGGCGGGUGUUGGAAAGUUUUUCGGUGAAGGAUGGGCUCGCGGCCUAUCAGUUUGUUGGUGAGGUAGUGGCUCACCAAGGCGAUGACGGGUAGCCGGCCUGAGAGGGCGACCGGCCACGCUGGGACUGAGACACGGCCCAGACUCCUACGGGAGGCAGCAGUGGGGAAUAUUGCACAAUGGGCGAAAGCCUGAUGCAGCGACGCCGCGUGAGGGAUGACGGCCUUCGGGUUGUAAACCUCUUUCAGCAGGGAAGAAGCGAAAGUGACGGUACCUGCAGAAGAAGCGCCGGCUAACUACGUG
RNAcentral lists this ribosomal RNA (467 nucleotides) under uncultured bacterium. RNAcentral describes it as "partial 16S ribosomal RNA". It matches the Rfam family "Bacterial small subunit ribosomal RNA", at positions 28 to 507 of the family's 1533-position model. The record is from RNAcentral.